CCUUGUCCCGCGGACCUUACGCGCCCGGACGCCGGCCGAGAUCUCAAGCCAAAGCCCCAUCGCAGUAGCCGUGCCUACGGUCCUAUUGACCCCACGGCGAUGGACCAGAAUUUGCAUGAAGGUUGACUCUUCACGGCCACCUAGUUUAAUCGAGGAAUCCAAAUGAAACCUCACUCAAGGAAGCCAUAAAAUUAUCUCUUGCCAUUGCAGUCCAGUGCCAACUUGAAACGUACACAGAUGCGAAUAACGCUCCGAACACCUGAGGUUUGAAAUCCCAGAGCAAGGCGCCUUUGAUACUCCCAGUGCCUGAGGUCGGCCCCCACGCCCUGUUGUGACACACAUGCCUAAGCACUACGCCUGCAACACGCUCACACUCAGAGAGGUACCAAAAUAGAAGACUGCCAGAAAGAGGUGUUUGGUUACACAUCGCAGAUGACUGUCACAAGCUAAUUUAGCCAAAGCAGUAAAAGCCGCGUAUCCCACACCGUUGUGAAACCAUGAGUUGUGGACAAUGAAACAGGAAUUACCUUCUAUAAUGGGGGGGGGGGGGAGGAGGGAGAGUAAUGACAAGACAUUUUUAAAAAUCGUGUUUCACUGAGGAAAAAGCGUCAAUAUAUUUUGCAGUAAAUUUUGAGCAGUGAUCUUUAUGGACUACCCCCCUCAACCCCACCUCCAUACUUCUAUAUUUAGAAAACUUCUCAAACAAUUGUCCAAGAUGAAAUUUUAAGCUAGAAUAGUGUGGUUUUAAAUUUUAUUUCAAAAUUCAAAUUGAUUUCAGAGUUCAAACUUUACAUUCAGGAAGAUUAUGUGGCAAAAUGAGGCAGAUUGAAUUCCAAAUCUGGCAUGGUUUCUAUGUCUGUAAUAAAUGAAUUAACAUGUAUGUAUUCUACUGCCCUCUCAUGGGUGAUCUGGAGAUAUAACUAAUGGUAGUUAAUGCCUUUUAAAUCUGAGACUAGAAUGUUUAAUUUAGCAAUCUCUAUUAUUUUGAUGACAUAGAGGACAAGGUAGAAAUAAAAUCAGGUUCUCUAAGGGACUUAUAAAUACUCAGCAAACAGAAGUUCAACUUCAGAAACCAGGGAGAGGAUUCUUAUACUAGGGCUAGUAUAAACACGCUGUCAGGAUCACACCCAUGCUUAUAGCUACCUGUGUAGAAUGUGGAAACAUGCAGGAAUUUGCCUUUAUUUUUGUUUUUCCAUUUGAGAAGUCAUUAUUUCCUGAGGUGUUUCACAAAAUGUUCUUUUUCACGUUUGUAUCCACUCAUUCUAUCAUUUCACACUGUGAACAACGGGAGAGUAGGAAUGAAAUCUUAUUCUUUAUACCUUUACUGCCUAGAAUACUACCUGAUACUUGAGCAGUUCAUCAGUAAUUGUUUA
This is a long non-coding RNA of Lynx canadensis (Canada lynx), 1373 nucleotides long. RefSeq lists it as uncharacterized. NCBI's taxonomy places the organism in Eukaryota, Metazoa, Chordata, Mammalia, Carnivora, Felidae. The record is from RefSeq and is a predicted model, not a curated record. The transcript is spliced from 2 exons.